GUCCCAACAUGAAGCAAGCGAAGAUGUGGCGGGAUCUUGAACAACUGAUGGAAUGCAAAAAACAGUGCUUUCUGAAGCAGCAGAGCCCAGCCUCCAUCGGCCAGUCUUUUUUUCUGACUUAGAGGACUCUUUGAGGAACUAGUAUCUCUUGUUUUGAAGAAACGUUUGUCUGAAGUCAGCAGUCCCUGUGGUUUCACUUCAGCUUCUCUCUCUUCUAUAAAACCCAAACCAGUUCAUAUUGUGAAAAGCAUUUGUGUUGUUCGUAUGAUUUCAAAGCAAAUAAAGCCUGAGACCUGU
RNAcentral lists this long non-coding RNA (297 nucleotides) under Rattus norvegicus (Norway rat). RNAcentral's name for it is "long non-coding RNA NONRATT007527". Lineage: Eukaryota; Metazoa; Chordata; Mammalia; Rodentia; Muridae. The record is from RNAcentral.